RNAcentral lists this ribosomal RNA (741 nucleotides) under uncultured bacterium. Its description in RNAcentral is "bacterial SSU rRNA". It matches the Rfam family "Bacterial small subunit ribosomal RNA", at positions 94 to 823 of the family's 1533-position model. The record is from RNAcentral.
AGCGGCGGACGGGUGAGUAACACGUGGGUAACCUGCCCAAGAGACUGGGAUAACACCUGGAAACAGAUGCUAAUACCGGAUAACAACACUAGACGCAUGUCUAGAGUUUGAAAGAUGGUUCUGCUAUCACUCUUGGAUGGACCUGCGGUGCAUUAGCUAGUUGGUAAGGUAACGGCCUACCAAGGCAAUGAUGCAUAGCCGAGUUGAGAGUCUGAUCGGCCACAUUGGGACUGAGACACGGCCCAAACUCCUACGGGAGGCAGCAGUAGGGAAUCUUCCACAAUGGACGAAAGUCUGAUGGAGCAACGCCGCGUGAGUGAAGAAGGGUUUCGGCUCGUAAAGCUCUGUUGGUAAUGAAGAAAGAUAGAGGUAGUAACUGGCCUUUAUUUGACGGUAAUUACUUAGAAAGUCACGGCUAACUACGUGCCAGCAGCCGCGGUAUACGUAGGUGGCAAGCGUUGUCCGGAUUUAUUGGGCGUAAAGCGAGUGCAGGCGGUUCAAUAAGUCUGAUGUGAAAGCCUUCGGCUCAACCGGAGAAUUGCAUCAGAAACUGUUGAACUUGAGUGCAGAAGAGGAGAGUGGAACUCCAUGUGUAGCGGUGGAAUGCGUAGAUAUAUGGAAGAACACCAGUGGCGAAGGCGGCUCUCUGGUCUGCAACUGACGCUGAGGCUCGAAAGCAUGGGUAGCGAACAGGAUUAGAUACCCUGGUAGUCCAUGCCGUAAACGAUGAGUGCUAAGUGU